Long non-coding RNA from Columba livia (rock pigeon), 2253 nucleotides. RefSeq lists it as uncharacterized. Lineage: Eukaryota; Metazoa; Chordata; Aves; Columbiformes; Columbidae. The transcript has 2 exons. The record is from RefSeq and is a predicted model, not a curated record.
UCAGGGCUGUGGGUUGUCUUGGCUGUAUUUAUAGGCAAUGUGCUGAUUUUAGUUAUUGGACCUGCUGUGUUAGCAUGGGAAGUUACUGGGGGGUUGUGGAAAAUUACAGCCGAUGGGUGUAAGAACAAAGCACAGGAGCUGGUGGUUUGGCAACAGUAUCUUGUUAUAGUCGCGCGAAGCUUUCCUAACACGAAAGGCAUGUAGUUACAAGGACCUAAGAUAAGAUAUGCAUGCUUUCUUACUAACCUAUCAUGAGCUCAGCCUUUGUAAUAUGUAUGAGCUAAUUAGUUGGUAUACCAAUCAGUAUAAUCCACGAUAGUAGUUGUAAUGUAUGUAACAGUAUAAAAAGAUUGUGUAGAGAACAAUAAAGUGGACACUUUGCUUGCAUCAAGUUGCGCCCCCGUCUCUUCAUCGCGGCAAAUGGUGCCCCCCGACGUGAUCUUUGGUGAAGACUCCGCCGGAGGCUGAUAAUCACCUAUCUGGUGGCGUGCUGCGAGUCCCGCAGAACUGGGAACGCUGCUACAAGGAGCAGGGAAAAGCCGGCUACAGAAGUCAUCACCCCCGUCUGGAACGAGAGAGAGAGGUCCUCGCUGGAUCCCGGCAAAGAACGUGAGACCCUUCCGAGAAACAUUGCAACGGCAGUCCUCUGAUAACGCUCCAGAACCUGCGUUCGAUGAGGAGAACGUUGCUCCCGAAUGAAUUCCGUCUCAGAAACAGAUAAGCGAGAGCUUCAAUGUCCAGACUGCGAAGUGUGCAAUUUCUGGCUGACACUUUGGGGCUCCUUCCCUCCACAGGGGGAAUGGGAGAACAUCUCAAAUCGCGAAAAUUGCUCUAAUAUGAGUCCGGAGAUUCUUCCUGUUAACGGGACUGGAGUGGUCUAUUUUGGUGAUAGCUGGACUAGGUAUUUGAUUCGAGAUGGUCACAAAGAGACAUUAGAUUCACUGAUUCAUUAUCAAAACGUGUCAGGUAACUCUGGUCAUUGGAACAUUUCAAUGAAUACAGGGGCUAGAGAUGUGGCCGAUAUCACUGGACAGGUAAGGUUGCCCAAAGGCUAUUUCUUGAUUUGUGGAGAUAGAGCAUGGCCCGGAAUUCCUUUUAAACCUGUGGGAGGACCUUGUUAUAUUGGGAGACUUACGCUGUUCGCACCUCAUAUGAGGGACAUGCUUAAUCGUUCCCUGAGCAAUAGUACCAGAUCAAAAAGGUCAUUGCGACAAUUACAACCAGAUUGCGAUGAUCGCGUCAAUUUAGGGUCUUUAGGAUCUACUAUAGCUCUGUCCCUAUUUUUGCCUGGUGGAAUGGCCGCAAGCAAUUGGAAUAAAAUAAAACAAUUGGCAUGCUGGGCUGUCAAAGAAUUUAACACGACCUCUGACAUUUUGUCAGGAUUAGCUCAAGAUGUAGAUAGCUUACGACAUGUAGUCUUACAGAAUCGUGCCGCCAUAGAUUUCCUUUUACUAGCCCACGGACAUGGAUGUCAAGAAUUUGAAGGAAUGUGUUGCAUGAAUCUAUCUGAUCACUCUGUGAGCAUUCAUAAACAGAUUGCAGAACUACGAGAAAGGAUUCACAAUGUGCAGGAAGGAAUGGAUGGACUCGAUGGGUGGCUAGCUUCUUGGGGAAUUACAGGGUGGAUAAAAGAUUUACUUAAACAGGGAAUUUUGAUCCUUUUAGUAAUUUGUGUAUUAUUACUAACGAUUCCAUGUAUUUUGCAGUGCUUACAAAAGUCGAUAACCGCUUCAGUAAAUAAGAUUUUUCUUGUACAAGCACAAGACCUUCUGAAAACUCCCAGUACAGAAAUGUUGGUGAAGCAAGACGUCCUCGAACUGGUUGGGCGCCGACCUUGGGAAGAAGCAAAUGUUUGAAAACAAAAAGGGGGAGAUGUGGGUUGUCUUGGCUGUAUUUAUAGGCAAUGUGCUGAUUUUAGUUAUUGGACCUGCUGUGUUAGCAUGGGAAGUUACUGGGGGGUUGUGGAAAAUUACAGCCGAUGGGUGUAAGAACAAAGCACAGGAGCUGGUGGUUUGGCAACAGUAUCUUGUUAUAGUCGCGCGAAGCUUUCCUAACACGAAAGGCAUGUAGUUACAAGGACCUAAGAUAAGAUAUGCAUGCUUUCUUACUAACCUAUCAUGAGCUCAGCCUUUGUAAUAUGUAUGAGCUAAUUAGUUGGUAUACCAAUCAGUAUAAUCCACGAUAGUAGUUGUAAUGUAUGUAACAGUAUAAAAAGAUUGUGUAGAGAACAAUAAAGUGGACACUUUGCUUGCA